AGCGAACGCUGGCGGCAUGCUUAACACAUGCAAGUCGCACGGAUCUUUCGGGAUCAGUGGCGGACGGGUGAGUAACGCGUAGGGAUCUAUCCAUGGGUGGGGGACAACUCCGGGAAACUGGAGCUAAUACCGCAUGAUACCUGAGGGUCAAAGGCGCAAGUCGCCUGUGGAGGAACCUGCGUUCGAUUAGCUAGUUGGUGGGGUAAAGGCCUACCAAGGCGAUGAUCGAUAGCUGGUUUGAGAGGAUGAUCAGCCACACUGGGACUGGGACACGGCCCAGACUCCUACGGGAGGCAGCAGUGGGGAAUAUUGGACAAUGGGCGAAAGCCUGAUCCAGCAAUGCCGCGUGUGUGAAGAAGGUCUUCGGAUUGUAAAGCACUUUCGACGGGGACGAUGAUGACGGUACCCGUAGAAGAAGCCCCGGCUAACUUCGUG
This 435-nucleotide ribosomal RNA is filed under the name uncultured bacterium. RNAcentral describes it as "partial 16S ribosomal RNA". It matches the Rfam family "Bacterial small subunit ribosomal RNA", at positions 29 to 507 of the family's 1533-position model. The record is from RNAcentral.